UGCAACCUGCAGAAGUUCCUGGCUUGUAGAACCGAGAGGGAGAGAAUACCCUUGAGUUGAAUUAUGUUCUGCACAUCUGUAUGUUGACAUCCUAACCCUAAGGGUGUCAGCAUGUAACUAUUCGGAGACGGAGGCCUUGAAAGAGAAUAGGGAAGAUGGCGAGGACCUGAGUCUGCAUUCUGCUGUGUUUCCCACCUGGCCAGAGGUCAGCGGAUGGCUGUCCCCAGCGCCCAGUGCCCUAGCAUCUGUCUGUUCUCCCUCCAGAAGGUUCUUGUCUGCCUACUCACACCAAGGUCAGAGCUGAGGACUCCAGCUCC
Molecule: long non-coding RNA, 317 nt
Organism: Mus caroli (Ryukyu mouse)
Lineage: Eukaryota; Metazoa; Chordata; Mammalia; Rodentia; Muridae
Source: RefSeq, a predicted model, not a curated record